UUGGUACGCCUCUACAUGUUACCCCUGGUUCUGAGCUAGGUGCUAGUAAUUCAUAUGGUAAGACCCCUGCGCCACAUCGGUUCCUAAAGUUAGGAUCCCUAUUCCUUCUGUCAAUCUCCUUCUCUAUCUGUCUUAUCUUCGCUGAGAACUCAUAAAAUGAUUCAACUAUUUCAGCAUCACCGGACCAUAUCGAUGGUUGUUGUCGUUCACCAAGGUAUUCCUCGUCCGGUGAGUGCGUCGACAAGGUGUCUACCACAGCCAUAUACUUUGUUGCUUGUAACAGACUAGGCAAUGCUGACAGGAAAUACUUUUGUGGAUCAGCUACAAAACUUGCAUAUUCAGUGUCAUUUUCUUCUGGGACUAAUCUUCUCAUUAGAGGUGGUCUGUUAGGCACAUAGCCCCCAUAAGGAUACUG
This 415-nucleotide unclassified non-coding RNA is filed under the name Hevea brasiliensis (rubber tree). The record is from RNAcentral. Lineage: Eukaryota; Viridiplantae; Streptophyta; Magnoliopsida; Malpighiales; Euphorbiaceae.